UACGUAGGGGGCAAGCGUUGUCCGGAUUUAUUGGGCGUAAAGAGCGUGUAGGCGGCCAGAUAGGUCCGUUGUGAAAACUGGAGGCUUAACCUUCAGACGUCGAUGGAAACCAUCUGGCUAGAGUCCGGAAGAGGAGAAUGGAAUUCCUGGUGUAGCGGUGAAAUGCGCAGAUAUCAGGAAGAACACCCGUGGCGAAGGCGGUUCUCUGGGACGGUACUGACGCUGAGACGCGAAAGCGUGGGGAGCGAACAGGAUUAGAUACCCGGUAGUCC
RNAcentral lists this ribosomal RNA (272 nucleotides) under uncultured prokaryote. RNAcentral describes it as "partial 16S ribosomal RNA". It matches the Rfam family "Bacterial small subunit ribosomal RNA", at positions 524 to 796 of the family's 1533-position model. The record is from RNAcentral.